Molecule: ribosomal RNA, 354 nt
Filed under: Flavobacteriales bacterium
Lineage: Bacteria; Pseudomonadati; Bacteroidota; Flavobacteriia; Flavobacteriales
Description: bacterial LSU rRNA
Rfam family: Bacterial large subunit ribosomal RNA
Source: RNAcentral
AGGUCCCAAGGGUUGGGCUGUUCGCCCAUUAAAGUGGCACGCGAGCUGGGUUCAGAACGUCGCGAGACAGUUCGGUCCCUAUCUGUUGUGGGCGUAGGAAAUUUGAGAGAUGCUGACUCUAGUACGAGAGGACCGAGUUGGACGAACCUCUAGUGUACCAGUUGUGGUGCCAACUGCACCGCUGGGUAGCUACGUUCGGAAGAGAUAAGCGCUGAAAGCAUCUAAGCACGAAGCUCUUCUCAAGAUGAGAUUUCCAUUAAGGGUCGUUAAAGACGAUGACGUUGAUAGGUCGCAGGUGUAAAGGCGGUAACGCCAAAGCCGAGCGAUACUAAUUACCCGUAAGCUUUUUUAAAC